UACGGGAGGCAGCAGUGGGGAAUCUUCCGCAAUGGGCGAAAGCCUGACCCAGCAACGCCGCGUGAGGGAAGAAGGUUUUCGGAUUGUAAACUUCUGUCCUCAGGGAAGAAAAAAAUGACGGUACCUGAGGAGGAAGCCCCGGCUAACUACGUGCCAGCAGCCGCGGUAAUACGUAGGGGGCGAGCGUUGUCCGGAAUGACUGGGCGUAAAGGGCGCGUAGACGGCCGAUUAAGUCUGGAGUGAAAGUCCUGCUUUCAAGGUGGGAAUUGCUUUGGAGACUGGUUGGCUUGAGUGCGGAAGAGGUAAGUGGAAUUCCCAGUGUAGCGGUGAAAUGCGUAGAGAUUGGGAAGAACACCAGUGGCGAAGGCGACUUACUGGGCCGUAACUGACGUUGAUGCGCGAAAGCGUGGGGAGCGAACAGGAUUAGAUACCCUGGUAGUCCACGCCGUAAACGAUGAGUGCUAGGUGUAGCGGGUAUCGACCCCUGCUGUGCCGGAGUUAACACAAUAAGCACUCCGCCUGGGGAGUACGGCCGCAAGGUUGAAACUCAAAGGAAUUGACGG
Molecule: ribosomal RNA, 563 nt
Filed under: uncultured bacterium
Lineage: Bacteria
Description: bacterial SSU rRNA
Rfam family: Bacterial small subunit ribosomal RNA
Source: RNAcentral